This 301-nucleotide ribosomal RNA is filed under the name uncultured bacterium. RNAcentral describes it as "partial 16S ribosomal RNA". It matches the Rfam family "Bacterial small subunit ribosomal RNA", at positions 509 to 807 of the family's 1533-position model. The record is from RNAcentral.
CAGCAGCCGCGGUAAUACGAAAGGGGCUAGCGUUGUUCGGAAUUACUGGGCGUAAAGGGCGCGUAGGCGGUUUAUCUAGUCAGGCGUGAAAGCCCCGGGCUCAACCUGGGAAUUGCGCUUGAUACUGGUAGACUUGAGUUCGGGAGAGGUGAGUGGAAUUCCCAGUGUAGAGGUGAAAUUCGUAGAUAUUGGGAAGAACACCGGUGGCGAAGGCGGCUCACUGGACCGAUACUGACGCUGAGGCGCGAAAGCGUGGGGAGCAAACAGGAUUAGAUACCCGCGUAGUCCCUGUCUCUUAUAC